GGUUAAGUGACUAAGCGUACACGGUGGAUGCCUUGGCAGUCAGAGGCGAUGAAAGACGUAGUAACUUGCGAUAAGCCCAGAUUAGGUAGUAACAACCAUUUGAGUCUGGGAUUUCUGAAUGGGGAAACCCACGUGCAUAAGCACGUAUCCUUACCUGAAUACAUAGGGUAAGGAGGCGAACCGGGGGAACUGAAACAUCUAAGUACCCCGAGGAAAAGAAAUCAACCGAGAUUCCGAAAGUAGCGGCGAGCGAAAUUGGACUAGCCCUUAAGCUUUACACGCGUUAGACGAACGGUCUGGAAAGUCCGACGAUACAGGGUGAUAGUCCCGUAGUUGACGACGUGUGUUCAGUGAAAUCGAGUAGGGCGGGACACGUGAUAUCCUGUCUGAAUAUGGGGGGACCAUCCUCCAAGGCUAAAUACUACUGACUGACCGAUAGUGAACCAGUACCGUGAGGGAAAGGCGAAAAGAACCCCUGUGAGGGGAGUGAAAUAGAACCUGAAACCGUGUACGUACAAGCAGUAGGAGCAGGCUUUGUCCUGUGACUGCGUACCUUUUGUAUAAUGGGUCAGCGACUUAUAUUCAGUGGCAAGGUUAACCAUCUAGGGGAGCCGUAGGGAAACCGAGUCUUAACUGGGCGUUCAGUCUCUGGAUAUAGACCCGAAACCAGGUGAUCUAGCCAUGGGCAGGUUGAAGGUUGAGUAACAUCAACUGGAGGACCGAACCGACUAAUGUUGAAAAAUUAGCGGAUGACUUGUGGCUAGGGGUGAAAGGCCAAUCAAACCUGGAGAUAGCUGGUUCUCCCCGAAAGCUAUUUAGGUAGCGCCUCGGACGAAUACUACUGGGGGUAGAGCACUGUUAAGGCUAGGGGGUCAUCCCGACUUACCAACCCUUUGCAAACUCCGAAUACCAGUAAGUACUAUCCGGGAGACACACGGCGGGUGCUAACGUCCGUCGUGGAGAGGGAAACAACCCAGACCGCCAGCUAAGGUCCCAAAUUACUACUAAGUGGGAAACGAUGUGGGAAGGCUCAGACAGCCAGGAUGUUGGCUUAGAAGCAGCCAUCAUUUAAAGAAAGCGUAAUAGCUCACUGGUCGAGUCGGCCUGCGCGGAAGAUGUAACGGGGCUAAGUAGUAAACCGAAGCUGCGGCAAUGUGCUUUUGCACAUUGGGUAGGGGAGCGUUCUGUAAGCGGUUGAAGGUGUGUGGUAACGCAUGCUGGACGUAUCAGAAGUGCGAAUGCUGACAUGAGUAACGAUAAAGGGGGUGAAAAACCUCCUCGCCGGAAGACCAAGGGUUCCUGUCCAACGUUAAUCGGGGCAGGGUAAGUCGACCCCUAAGGCGAGGCCGAAAGGCGUAGUCGAUGGGAAACGGGUUAAUAUUCCCGUACUUCUUACAAUUGCGAUGGGGGGACGGAGAAGGCUAGGUGGGCCUGGCGACGGUUGUCCAGGUUCAAGUGCGUAGGCUUGAGAGUUAGGUAAAUCCGGCUCUUUUUAAGGCUGAGACACGACGUCGAGCCACUACGGUGGUGAAGUCAUUGAUGCCAUGCUUCCAGGAAAAGCCUCUAAGCUUCAGAUUGUAAGGAAUCGUACCCCAAACCGACACAGGUGGUCGGGUAGAGAAUACCAAGGCGCUUGAGAGAACUCGGGUGAAGGAACUAGGCAAAAUGGUACCGUAACUUCGGGAGAAGGUACGCUCUCGACGGUGAAGUCCCUCGCGGAUGGAGCUAUUGAGAGUCGCAGAUACCAGGUGGCUGCAACUGUUUAUUAAAAACACAGCACUGUGCAAAAUCGUAAGAUGACGUAUACGGUGUGACGCCUGCCCGGUGCCGGAAGGUUAAUUGAUGGGGUUAGACUUCGGUCGAAGCUCUUGAUCGAAGCCCCGGUAAACGGCGGCCGUAACUAUAACGGUCCUAAGGUAGCGAAAUUCCUUGUCGGGUAAGUUCCGACCUGCACGAAUGGCGUAAUGAUGGCCACGCUGUCUCCACCCGAGACUCAGUGAAAUUGAAAUCGCUGUGAAGAUGCAGUGUACCCGCGGCUAGACGGAAAGACCCCGUGAACCUUUACUACAGCUUGGCACUGAACAUUGACCCUACAUGUGUAGGAUAGGUGGGAGGCUUUGAAGCACGUACGCCAGUAUGUGUGGAGCCGUCCUUGAAAUACCACCCUUGUAGUGUUGAUGUUCUAACGUCGACCCCUUAUCGGGGUUGCGGACAGUGCCUGGUGGGUAGUUUGACUGGGGCGGUCUCCUCCCAAAGAGUAACGGAGGAGCACGAAGGUGGGCUAAUCACGGUUGGACAUCGUGAGGUUAGUGCAAUGGCAUAAGCCCGCUUGACUGCGAGAAUGACAAUUCGAGCAGGUGCGAAAGCAGGUCAUAGUGAUCCGGUGGUUCUGAAUGGAAGGGCCAUCGCUCAACGGAUAAAAGGUACUCCGGGGAUAACAGGCUGAUACCGCCCAAGAGUUCAUAUCGACGGCGGUGUUUGGCACCUCGAUGUCGGCUCAUCACAUCCUGGGGCUGAAGUCGGUCCCAAGGGUAUGGCUGUUCGCCAUUUAAAGUGGUACGCGAGCUGGGUUUAGAACGUCGUGAGACAGUUCGGUCCCUAUCUGCCGUGGGCGUUGGAAGAUUGAAGGGGGCUGCUCCUAGUACGAGAGGACCGGAGUGGACGAACCUCUGGUGUUCGGGUUGUGUCGCCAGACGCAUUGCCCGGUAGCUAAGUUCGGAAUCGAUAACCGCUGAAAGCAUCUAAGCGGGAAGCGAGCCCUGAGAUGAGUCUUCCCUGAUACUUUAAGUAUCCUAAAGGGUUGUCGGAGACUACGACGUUGAUAGGUCAGGUGUGUAAGUGCUGUGAGGCAUUGAGCUAACUGAUACUAAUUGCCCGUGAGGCUUAACCAU
Ribosomal RNA from Vibrio parahaemolyticus RIMD 2210633, 2891 nucleotides. It matches the Rfam family "Bacterial large subunit ribosomal RNA". The record is from Rfam. Lineage: Bacteria; Pseudomonadati; Pseudomonadota; Gammaproteobacteria; Vibrionales; Vibrionaceae.